GCUGGGUGUGGUGGCGCACACCUGUAAUCCCAGCUACUUGGGAGGCUGAGGCAGAAGAAUCACUUGAACCUGGGAGGUGGAGGUUGCAGUGAACCAAGAUGAUGCCACUGUACUCCAGCCUAGGUGAUAGAGUGAGAUUCCAUCUCAA
Non-coding RNA from Gorilla gorilla gorilla (western lowland gorilla), 148 nucleotides. It matches the Rfam family "Metazoan signal recognition particle RNA". From Rfam's summary of the family: The signal recognition particle (SRP) is a universally conserved ribonucleoprotein. It is involved in the co-translational targeting of proteins to membranes. The record is from Rfam. Lineage: Eukaryota; Metazoa; Chordata; Mammalia; Primates; Hominidae.